GUGACUGGUGUUCAGAGGUGUGCUGUGCCAACUUAUUGAUAGAAAAACCAUUCUUCUAUUCAAUGAAAUAUUGAUUGAUUAGUGAAUAAGCAGACGAGGCAGACACAGAGGACACUUGUUUGUCCCAGCAUUCCCAGCAGAGGACCCGAGGUGCACCCCAUGGCCCAGUCAUGCUGGUGGUGGCAGCAGGUGAAGAGUCCCCGAUUGGCUUAACCUUAUUGUAUGUUCCACCCUGGGGCGAGGUGAGGAGCCUCUUGCCCAGAAUUACAUGGGGUCCUUGGUGGAAAUCAGAGGUCAUCACAAGAAAGGCAGGGAAUGGCCCCAGCGUGGACAGUAGGUGACCACUGCAGACCUCGUGGGAUUCUGCCCCGAGGGAAAGUGCAGGGAGUCUAGUGCUGGGGUGGACUGUGUUCUUUGAUCGAAUGUCCCAAUUGAUGAAGAGAAUCUGCAGUAUGCAUCUUUUGUUUGCAGUAUACAUGGUUAGAUUAUUUGUAACAAACAAAGCAGAAACCAAAAACCUUCACAGAUGACAGGUAAAAAUAGAGCUAAAUUGUGGAGUUCUAACAUUUCUUUCAGUCCCAGGGGACUGUCUUGAGUGCCCUGCUCUGACGACCUCCGGUGUAAGGCUGUUACCCAAGGCUGAGUCAUCCCCUUGCCACUGCAUCUUCACGCCAUCUCCUUAGGUCGAGUCAUUCCUGUUCUGCUGCCGUGACUUAUGCUGUGUCUGCCCACCAGUACUGAUUUGAUAUUUUCUUUAAAUUGGCUCUCAUUUUUUGCCCAAGGUAAAUUUAUUUAUAAAGAAAGCCAGUAUCAUUUGCCAUCGGGAGAAAAUAACUGUGAAAGUACCGCAGUGAAUACAAAACAGCUGUUAGUUUCUGGCCAGAUACUGUCACCCACCCAGAGGCAGAAAGGGAGAUGAGCAAAGGUUAGAGCAGAGGCAGCCAGCUGAGCACCAGACUGAAUCUCAGAAGAGACUGAGACUGUGCAAAGGGAAGAGCUUGGUCUUUAGGACUCAGCAAUGCUCUCUCUGGUGUCCAGGCACCACAGAAAACGAUCCUGGGUUCCGAAUUCCUUGCUUGGGGAAACACCAGUCAGGUGGUUGGGCUCUCAGGAAGGAUGGACAUGAGUUUGAGUACUGACUUUAUCCCUUCACUCCUGUGCCUCAGCCUCUACACUGUAAUAUGGGUCUACCUUGAAGGGUGGCUGGGAUUAGAUGGAAUUAUAUUUUCAGAUCUCUUCACACAUAACAUGUAGUUGAUAGAUGUAAGCUUUUAUCAUCAGUGGUUUGUUAUUUGAGCUGUCCUGUAUUGUUUCAUGAGUCAGUCCCCUUUCUCAGCAUUCCUUGAGCUCUGGGGGGGCGGUCCCUUUAGUUUCCACUGAGGACCGUAUCCUUGGAGCCUCAGAAAACAGAGCAGCUCAUCACCAACUGGUCCCUGGAUGCUGUGAAGACAGGCCUCACCAACACAGAUGCCAGCGAGGUCCAGGCCGGGGGCAUUCGUGAGGGAUAGGGGUCACGGGAGGACUGUGAGGAAGACAGGAGUGUCCAAAGAGGAUGGCCCUUGGUCAGCGCCAGCUGAUUCGUGCCCUGGGGGGAAUGCUUCUGGCCUUUAAAUGUUGGCUCCUGGCUAAUGCUUUCCUUCUGUAAGUUACACGGGGUGAGCAAAACUUACUUGUAAUCCGUGGCCUGAGCCCAUCUGUUUGUUAGUUCCAUCCACCACUUUUGCCUCUACGCCGUUGACCUUGAAGCUUAAGUCUUGGUUGUUCGCUCAUUCAUAGCUCCUUGGAUGGUAAGCAGUGCCAGCAGCACAGCUCGGAGCUGACAAACGAUCGUCCUAAUCCAGCAGUCCAUCUCUCUGGGAAAAUCCUGAAACCUCCCAAGCCACCCAGACAUCCGUUUUUACAGCCCCAAUAACUCCAUCAGGUAAUGAAAGAUAUCGAGGGAAAUUAGAGCAGCAGAAACGACAAAAGCGAAGUUUCAACCAGGACACAAGCUCUGAGCGACUUCACCCCAAAGGCUCUUUCUCUCUCUCUGGCCCUUUAUGUAACCAUCCGUAACGGUGGGUCUGUUACAGCGAUGUUGCAGAGCGACCGCCUUGUGAGAGGCACGGAAACCGUGUGAUUAUGCUGAAGUUUAAACUGAUUUUCCUCUGCAAAAUUUUGCCCUCACUAGCACUUUUAGCUCAUUUCUGCAGUUCUGAGGCUUCUUCCUAAUGGGAGAAGAGAAUCAAAAUCUAAAAUGCCCACGUUUUGACUGUCGCCAUUCCAGUCGGCUCCUCUUGAAAGGCAUCUGUCAGAAGGGCCGCAUUGUUAGCAGGUCACAGGCGUCUGUUUGCAUGGUAUCGGAGCAGAUUUUAAUUUGACAAGGAAAUCUGCCAAAAGCAGAAGCAAUGGAAAGCCAGCACGAGGUGACUUGGGAAAGAUUUGCUUUGUGCAAGUCAAUCGAAUGCGUGCUAGCAGCAUUCCUUUAAAGGUUAAUUGUGAUACUAACCGUUAGGAAAAAUCUAAUUAAUAAUAACAGGGGAAAAAAAGCCAUAUGUGAGUAAUAUUGAGGUAGUGACAAGGACUUUAUAAAAUCAAAAAUUCAACGUUGAGGUUUAGAUUUGAU
Vicugna pacos (alpaca) is the source of this 2605-nucleotide non-coding RNA. Lineage: Eukaryota; Metazoa; Chordata; Mammalia; Artiodactyla; Camelidae. The record is from RefSeq and is a predicted model, not a curated record.